AAUGUGUGGUGUUGAAGUUUCUGUUGCCGAUGGAUUCGGAUCCCCGGCCCUUGGAAAGCUAAAUGCAGAGAGAGAGGAAGCGCACCAAAGAGCAGCACAGGAGGGGAGCAGAGCACCGUAAGGAGGUGGCGGUCAGGCCUCGGCACGGCAGGCCGAAGAAUCUGACUCCGAGCGGCCGAGGAAAAGGGACGGGCGAGAGGAAGGCGUUUCCAAGGAGGGCUUCGUCGCAGCGGAGGUCGACGCCGGGCG
This is a long non-coding RNA of Grus americana (Whooping crane), 249 nucleotides long. RefSeq lists it as uncharacterized. The transcript is spliced from 3 exons. The record is from RefSeq and is a predicted model, not a curated record. Lineage: Eukaryota; Metazoa; Chordata; Aves; Gruiformes; Gruidae.